GUGUGAUGGCGUUUUCUUGAACGAGAUGAUGAUUUUGGCGAGAAAAAUAUUGCGUUCUAACCUUCAGGUUCCUAAAUAUGAAAAGUAAUGUUCUUUCAAGAAAGUCAACGAGGUCCCUUACUCCCUUGUUUGCUAACCCAAUGGCUGCUACCCUUGAAUCUCCCUAUUUAGCUCCUUACACAGUCCCUCUUGAUUUGAGGGUAAUCCUUCGCUACUGAU
Molecule: long non-coding RNA, 219 nt
Filed under: Daphnia pulex (common water flea)
Lineage: Eukaryota; Metazoa; Arthropoda; Branchiopoda; Diplostraca; Daphniidae
Description: uncharacterized LOC124192743
Source: RNAcentral